Molecule: ribosomal RNA, 1113 nt
Filed under: Triticum aestivum (bread wheat)
Lineage: Eukaryota; Viridiplantae; Streptophyta; Magnoliopsida; Poales; Poaceae
Description: partial small subunit ribosomal RNA
Source: RNAcentral
AUGACAACGAAUGUAACAAUGGAUUCUCUUCUUCGUUUUUCUUUGUACAGCGACGAAAUAUCAAUCAAUCAUGGGAGCAGGAGAGGAGAGAAAGAACUGGAAGAAAGAAACGAUCCCCAUCGCAGCCGAACCAUCCGAGAAAAGGCCACCGUCUUUUUGCCACGCUUUGAAAGUUUGAAGUUUGACCACCAUCAUCCAUCGACCGAUACCUUUACUUUCCCUGUGGUGUUGUGUGAUCCGGGGGGACGGGGGGCGGAGGGGAGGUCAGGCCCGCGGGGCGCCGUCGGCGGGCGGCGGGGGGAAGAGCGGCGGCGCGUCGCGGCCGCCGAGGUCCAUGGAGGACUUGGCGGAGGCGGGCGGGGCGGCGAAGCGGGAGGAGAAGUCGCGGUAGCCGCCGGCGUGGUCGCCGCCGGCGUCGGGGGUGGCGCCGUGGCCCUCGUCGAAGUUGAGCGCGUAGCUGAGCGCGUCGUAGUUGAGCUUGCGGGCGCCGCCGAAGGCGUGGUGGUGCGGGCGGGGGCCGCGGCCGAAGCGCCGGAUGAAGGUCUUCCAGCGCGGGCCCGCCGCCAGCUCCGACCACUCCCGCACCUUGAGCAGCGCGUCCACCGCACCCUGCCACCAGUGCUCCUCCUCCCCGCCCAGCGUCGCCGCCGCCGCCCCGCCGCCGGCGCGCUGGUGGGAGAGCGCGGAGGACGAGGAGGGCGCGGAGGAGGGCCAGCAGGGGAAGCAGCAGCACCGGCUGCCCCGGCGCGCGAAGAAGGCCGCCUCCGCCUCGUCUACACCGCCGCCGUGGUCGGCGUCCAUCGCCUCGCCUCGCCUCGCCGCGGCCGUGGAUCGUGGAUGGAAGGAGGGAAGGAAACCCCUGCGCCGGCCGCCGAGCCGAUGUGGUUGGGUCUGGUCUCUUCGGCCUGUCGUGCAGUUGCGCCGUGUCGUGGCAGCGGAUGGCGUGCGGGCCUUUUAUCGGGGGGCCGCCCGCCGCGGGCAGGCCGUGGGCGGGGUGGGGGAGUCAACGGUGGGCGCGGCCGGCUGACGUGGGCCGGAAUCCGCGGGGCCCAACGUUCGCCAGAAUCAGCGAAGAGGUUGCUCGUUGGCACUGUCCACUUGGAGUCGUGGUAA